This 759-nucleotide long non-coding RNA is filed under the name Physcomitrium patens. RNAcentral's name for it is "long non-coding RNA (PPAT_LNC014067)". Lineage: Eukaryota; Viridiplantae; Streptophyta; Bryopsida; Funariales; Funariaceae. The record is from RNAcentral.
CUCCCAUGUGCGAGGGUUCUUCACUGCACCUCUUUUUGUGAUUUUAUUUCUUAUAUUUUUUUAUCUUUCUUCUUCUUCUUUACUUGUUUAUUUUUUACGUUUCAUUCGGCUGCUGCCAAGUCACCUAUUUUGGUUUCUGUUGGGUAGAAUCUCAUUACCUCUUCUUCGUUUUUUUGUUUGUUUGUUUUUUUUUUUUUUUUUUUGUUUUGUUUUGUUUUUUUUUGAGGUGAUUGCAUUGAUCAUGUGGGUGCUGUUAUUGUUGUUGCUGCUGUGCAGUGCUGAGGCCCGCGUGUGCCAAGGAAAAAUCAACAACAAACUCAGUGUUGGAUUUUUGUAUUAUGCGAGUGUGGGUUUUUACUGGCUGUGUAACACUGGAAAUGGUGGUUGGGUUACGUGAGUCUUACCACCGUUAGUUUCUAUUUACAUCCUUUUGUUAAUGUUCUGGAAUGUUGUCAAAGUGUCUUCAGGAGUGUGAAAGUUUAUGAUAAGGGGUGAAAUACUCAUCUUCUAUGGAUGUCACGUUAUUGCGUGAAGGGAUUCAACCUUUUUUAUUUUUGUUUUUGGUUUUUAUACUAUUUUAUUGUUUUAGUGAGUCUAUGAUAUUGUAUGUGUGUUGAACGUAUCGAUUUAUUUGUCAUGUAGUUCAAAGUAAUGUACCGGUUGUUGGAGUCAAUCAUAGCGUCUAAUUUUGAGACUUUACUAAGAUUGAUAGAAUUGAAUUGUGUUCGUUAAUGGUUAAAUUGUAAUUUCAAAUGUCGU